AUCAUUUGCUCUGUUUUGUUUUGGUGGUGGUGAUACUGAUACAUGAGGAAGAAGAGGGUAAUGGUGCCAGUGGAAGAAGUUUUGUCAGCCGUCAAAUAUGAGGAGGAAGAGUUUCAAGGUAACUUUCAAAUUUAUUCAUACAUUGCUGAUUUGCGGUAAGAUUUGUGUAUUAGUGUGGGGUUUCUGCGUUUGAUUUUUUAUUUUUUAUUUUAUUUUUUGUUCUAAAACAUAUGAGAGUUUAUGUGGUGGGAGUGAUUGGAAGUUUAAAGCUGUACUGGACAUGAAUUGGAAAUGAACAUUGAAGCUCCACAUAUGACUGGGUUCCUGUUGAAGUUAUUUGUUUGCAUUAUUGAAACGCCCUUGAUUGGUCCUUUGGUUAUAUCUUUCUUAAGGAAGCAGAACAAGUUUGAGGAGAACCCAAGCCUGGUGUUGUAAUGCUUGAUGAAGAAGGGAAACCUGAAGAGCGAGUUGAGUUAGCUUUGAAAUCCCUUCCACAAUAUGAUCCUGCUAGCUGCUGGAAUGGUGAUUCAACCCCAUCUUUUCAGUACUGGAAAAUAAGUGAUUAUGCACAUGCUUAUUGUUCUGGGCAUGCAACACCAAGCACAAAAGUGGAACUACUGCAGCUCAAAGAGAAAAGCAAGUGCAGAAAACUCAGGCAGAAAACACAAGAACAAUAAUAAAACAAAGGACACGCAAGAAAGUUAUACUGGUUCAGUUCUAUCAUGGUGAGAACCUACAUCCCGUUCUGAUUAUGCCAUCAAAUCCACUAUGAAGAAACUAGCUUUACAAGGUGAGAUUACUGAUUACAAAUACACAGACGC
Ziziphus jujuba (common jujube) is the source of this 821-nucleotide RNA transcript. It is a transcript of the gene named fatty acid amide hydrolase-like, with no coding region annotated. NCBI's taxonomy places the organism in Eukaryota, Viridiplantae, Streptophyta, Magnoliopsida, Rosales, Rhamnaceae. The transcript is spliced from 3 exons. The record is from RefSeq and is a predicted model, not a curated record.